Long non-coding RNA from Artibeus jamaicensis (Jamaican fruit-eating bat), 1260 nucleotides. RefSeq lists it as uncharacterized. The record is from RefSeq and is a predicted model, not a curated record. Lineage: Eukaryota; Metazoa; Chordata; Mammalia; Chiroptera; Phyllostomidae. The transcript has 7 exons.
CAAAUGUCUUUAAAGGGGAAACAGUACAAAAGAGGAGUGCUUAAGGUGUGUUAGUGCAGGGCACUGACCGAGCAGCUGAGGCCAGGAGCAGCACCCUGCCUGCCUGAUGCUGCCAAGGCGCAAAAGCGCCAGUUCUCUCCGCCCCUCCCACACACCUACGCGUUACCUACUGACCUCCACGGGCCUCUCUGAUUAAGGAGUUCCCACGAGCCCUGGCCCCCCAAGUGACAGUGGAUGUCUGUAAAGUGGAUGCCCGAAGUAUCCGUCUGAGCAAGGAGGCACGGCGUAGAGAUGGCCAGUGGGCCACUCCCCACCAUGUAUCAGGGCCCCAAGGAAUAAAUCUCCAAGGACUCCUUGGCGUGGCCACUUCAGGACCCUUUCCUGCAGAGCAUGAAGCAAAUCCAAGUGCUGCUGGACAAGAUCCAGACCUGACUCCCAGAAGCAACUUCUUUGUGAAGGUGAAAGUAUUAAGCGUUCAACUUCUUCCCUGUUCCUUACUAGGAGUGAAAUUACGGCAAUGUAAAACCUGACAUUCAUUUCACUGGUUCGAGAAGACAUGGCAAACUCAGGUGUGAGUGUCAGAUUGUAGUUAUGGUGAGUACACCAAGUGCCUGUGGCACUCCUGGAAAAGAAAGUACAGAAAAAGGAGGGAGAAUGUGCCAAAGACAAUGCCAUUUUUGGACAUUGUCCUCCUUGGCCCUGAUGAUGAGAGAAGUGAAGGAAGGGAGAAAUAAUGGGAGAGAAACAUCAAUGUUAGAGAGAAAUAUGGAUCGAUUGCUUCUUGCAUGCACCCCGACCAAGGGCUGAACCUAUAGCCUAGGUGUGUCCCCUGCCUGGGAAUUGAACUGAUGAAUGUUUGCUUUGAGGGACGACAUGCAACCAACUGAGCCACACUGCAUAUUCUUCAGCCUUGCACCUUCAUUGCCCCUGGAUCAGGCCACCCCCUCUUCCCUGGACCUGUCGAUUGAAAUCAAGAGUAACAGACAGCAAGUAGAACUGACGAAGUAGCUGGACUUACUUUAUGUGUUGACUUGAAAAAACUUGAAAUGAACACAGCUAUUAAAGGAGACUUACAGUGAGGUUCACAUACUUUUAGAAGAGUGAAAACAUUGAGUAAAUAUUUAGCUUAAAACUUAAAGGUAAAUAUUUUGUGAAUAACUAUAAAAUUCAUUAAUUAUUAUACUAAUUUUUAAUGUGGUGCAUUCUUAUUUGGAUCAAAUCAAUUAAUUUAGACCCAUGGAUUUUAUUCACAGGUUAUAG